This 107-nucleotide small nuclear RNA is filed under the name Meriones unguiculatus (Mongolian gerbil). Lineage: Eukaryota; Metazoa; Chordata; Mammalia; Rodentia; Muridae. The record is from RNAcentral.
GUGCUCACUUUGGUAGCAUGUAUACUAAAAUUGGAACAAUGCUGAGAAGAUUAUCAUGGCCCUUGCACAAGGAUGACAUGUAAAUUCAUGUACCGUACCAUUUUUUU